UCCCCGUUCACCUGUGUUGCGGUUCCCUUUCGGGCACCGAGGUAUCUCUACCCCGUUCCGCACAUGUCAAGGGUAGGUAAGGUUUUUCGCGUUGCAUCGAAUUAAUCCACAUAAUCCACCGCUUGUGCGGGUCCCCGUCAAUUCCUUUGAGUUUUAGCCUUGCGGCCGUACUCCCCAGGCGGUCAACUUCACGCGUUAGCUUCGUUACCAAGGAAUUACUUCCCCGACAACCAGUUGACAUCGUUUAGGGCGUGGACUAC
Molecule: unclassified non-coding RNA, 260 nt
Filed under: uncultured Gammaproteobacteria bacterium
Lineage: Bacteria; Pseudomonadati; Pseudomonadota; Gammaproteobacteria
Description: contains 16S-23S intergenic spacer region
Source: RNAcentral